Molecule: ribosomal RNA, 346 nt
Filed under: uncultured bacterium
Lineage: Bacteria
Description: bacterial SSU rRNA
Rfam family: Bacterial small subunit ribosomal RNA
Source: RNAcentral
AGAGUUUGAUCAUGGCUCAGAUUGAACGCUGGCGGCAUGCUUUACACAUGCAAGUCGAACGGCAGCACAGGGAGCUUGCUCCCGGGUGGCGAGUGGGCGCACGGGUGAGUAAUACAUCGGAACGUGUCCUGUUGUGGGGGAUAACUGCUCGAAAGGGUGGCUAAUACCGCAUGAGACCUGAGGGUGAAAGCGGGGGAUCGCAAGACCUCGCGCAAUUGGAGCGGCCGAUGCCCGAUUAGCUAGGUUGGUGAGGUAAAGGCUCACCAAGGGCGACGAUCGGUAGCUGGUCUGAGAGGACGACCAGCCACACUGGGACUGAGACACGGCCCAGACUCCUACGGGAGCA